This 72-nucleotide transfer RNA is filed under the name Rhodoluna sp. RNAcentral describes it as "tRNA-Ser". It matches the Rfam family "tRNA", at positions 9 to 64 of the family's 71-position model. Rfam says of the family: Transfer RNA (tRNA) molecules are approximately 80 nucleotides in length. Their secondary structure includes four short double-helical elements and three loops (D, anti-codon, and T loops). The record is from RNAcentral. Lineage: Bacteria; Bacillati; Actinomycetota; Actinomycetes; Micrococcales; Microbacteriaceae.
GUCCGAGCGGCCGAAGGUACUUGUCUCGAAAACAAGUGUGCGUGAAAGCGCACCGAGGGUUCAAAUCCCUCC